GUGGUCUGCAACUCGACCACACGAAGCUGGAAUCGCUAGUAAUCGCGAAUCAGCAUGUCGCGGUGAAUACGUUCCCGGGUCUUGUACACACCGCCCGUCACACCAUGGGAGUCAGCAACGCCCGAAGUCAGUGACCUAACCGAAAGGAAGGAGCUGCCGAAGGCGGGGCAGGUAACUGGGGUGAAGUCGUAACAAGGUAUC
This 201-nucleotide ribosomal RNA is filed under the name uncultured bacterium. RNAcentral's name for it is "partial 16S ribosomal RNA". It matches the Rfam family "Bacterial small subunit ribosomal RNA", at positions 1300 to 1500 of the family's 1533-position model. The record is from RNAcentral.